This 345-nucleotide ribosomal RNA is filed under the name Triticum aestivum (bread wheat). RNAcentral's name for it is "partial small subunit ribosomal RNA". Lineage: Eukaryota; Viridiplantae; Streptophyta; Magnoliopsida; Poales; Poaceae. The record is from RNAcentral.
AUGAAUGGUCUCUUUUGGAAUUGUAGAGGAGCAAGCAAAAAAGGAAUGACUACCUGCUUCUCUGACAUCAUCAAAGAUCAUUCCCUUGAUUUUAUUGGCAUCCAAGAGACUAAGAAAAAGAAUUUUUCCCCUAAAUACCUGAGAAAGGUUGACCCCUUUGAUAGAUUUAGUUUGAAUUGGAUCCCCUCCACUGGCAAAUCGGGUGGAGUGUUGUGUGGUAUCAAAAAAGAGACCUUGGAAAUUAUUUCCUGGACAACCGGCAACUAUCUACUGCAGGCCACUGCUUUUGAUGUGAAUCUUAAAAGUGUGUGGACACUUGUGGUGGUCUAUUGGGGCCGUACAUGA